This 205-nucleotide long non-coding RNA is filed under the name Capsicum annuum. RNAcentral's name for it is "long non-coding RNA (CANN_LNC011924)". Lineage: Eukaryota; Viridiplantae; Streptophyta; Magnoliopsida; Solanales; Solanaceae. The record is from RNAcentral.
CUAUGUCUUGAUCCUUUUCCUCAUCUCUUCUGCGCUGUUCAUCAUUUAUUCCAAUAGGAAUAGUUGGACUUGCUACCACAGAAUCACUGGUGUACCAAGACCUACUUAGUUUGGUCAUCCUAUUCAGCAUAUUAGCAGCAUCUUGAAAUGACAGAGCAAUAAAUGACCUACCAGUAGCAUUAUCUACCAUUAGUUUUGUCGCAGA